This 409-nucleotide long non-coding RNA is filed under the name Pelobates cultripes (western spadefoot toad). The record is from RNAcentral. Lineage: Eukaryota; Metazoa; Chordata; Amphibia; Anura; Pelobatidae.
GGGAUAUCGAGGUCACAGUCUGUGGUGAGUGGAUCCUCACAGGCUUCUGUGUGGUACCUGGGGUACCCAGCUGUACAGUAAUUAAUAGUCUUUUUGUUGACCCCUGUAGAAGUCAAUUGUUCUGGGGUCAUUUGACUCCAGGUCUUGGCCAUCGUGCCUAGGUCUUUCCACGAGAUGUCAGGGGGUCUGGUGAAAGAUAUGUGUGGGAUCGAUGUUUCCCAAUGGUGAUAGAGAUGUGUCACACUCUCUGGGAGGUGGACCAAGAUGAGCAUGGUACCUGUGAGGUCCCAAAACAAGUCAGUCAGGGUAAUUUGGAUUUCUUUGAGUUGGAAUACUUCUUUCUCAUAGUUCAUAUCAGGGCCUGGUUCAUCCCUAACCCACAAGGUACAGUGAGGUAGGGCCACUGAUU